RNAcentral lists this ribosomal RNA (519 nucleotides) under uncultured eukaryote. RNAcentral describes it as "partial 18S ribosomal RNA". It matches the Rfam family "Eukaryotic small subunit ribosomal RNA", at positions 1161 to 1712 of the family's 1831-position model. The record is from RNAcentral.
GGGGCACCACCGGGAGGGGAGCCUGCGUUUUAAUUUAACUCAACACGGAAAAACUCCCCGGGCCUGAACACUAGGGGGUUGGACAGACUGACUUUUUCUUUCUUGAGGGGGGGGUGGUGCGGCAUGGCCGUUCUUAGUUGGUGGAGAUUUUGUCUGGUGAAUUACGAUAACGAACGGGAUCGGGCCUACUAAAUAGGUGCCGGCUUACAAACACUGAUGAAACUUCUUAGAGGGACAGGCGGCGAUUCAGCCGCACAAAAAAAAACACCAACAAGUGUGGGAUGUCCUUGUUUGUCGGGGGCCGCCCGCUCCCUACACUGAAGUGAUCUGCGUGCCUUUCCAGCCUACUCUGCCAAGGAGGGGAACCCACUUAACCUUCUUCGUGGUUGGGGGAGGAGAUUGAGUCACCUCCUUUAAAAAAGAAUGGCGUGUAAGGGGGAGUCAUGCGCUAAGAUUGAUUACGUCCUGGCUUUUGUCAACCGCCGUCGUUCUACCGUUUUAUGGAAGUUGAGGCUCAAG